Molecule: ribosomal RNA, 464 nt
Filed under: uncultured bacterium
Lineage: Bacteria
Description: partial 16S ribosomal RNA
Rfam family: Bacterial small subunit ribosomal RNA
Source: RNAcentral
CCUACGGGAGGCAGCAGUAGGGAAUCUUCCACAAUGGGCGAAAGCCUGAUGGAGCAACGCCGCGUGGGUGAAGAAGGUCUUCGGAUCGUAAAACCCUGUUGUUAGAGAAGAAAGUGCGUGAGAGUAACUGUUCACGUUUCGACGGUAUCUAACCAGAAAGCCACGGCUAACUACGUGCCAGCAGCCGCGGUAAUACGUAGGUGGCAAGCGUUAUCCGGAUUUAUUGGGCGUAAAGGGAACGCAGGCGGUCUUUUAAGUCUGUUGUGAAAGCCUUCGGCUUAACCGGAGUAGUGCAUUGGAAACUGGGAUACUUGAGUGCAGAAGAGGAGAGUGGAACUCCAGGUGUAGCGGUGAAAUGCGUAGAUAUAUGGAAGAACACCAGUGGCGAAAGCGGCUCACUGGUCUGUAACUGACGCUGAGGUUCGAAAGCGUGGGUAGCAAACAGGAUUAGAUACCCGGGUAGU